GUCGAACGGGACUUUUUCUGGUAGCAAUACCGGGAAAAGUCUAGUGGCGAACGGGUGCGUAACACGUGGACAAUCUGCCUUAAAGUGGGGGAUAGCUCGGCGAAAGCCGAAUUAAUACCGCAUGUGAUGAGGGAAGACAUCUUCCCGAAAUCAAAGCCGGGGCAACCUGGCGCUUUUUGAGGAGUCCGCGGCCUAUCAGCUUGUUGGUGAGGUAACGGCUCACCAAGGCUAUGACGGGUAGCUGGUCUGAGAGGACGACCAGUCACACUGGAACUGAGACACGGUCCAGACACCUACGGGUGGCAGCAGUCGAGAAUUUUUCUCAAUGGGGGAAACCCUGAAGGAGCGACGCCGCGUGGAGGAUGAAGGUCUUCGGGUUGUAAACUCCUGUCAUUUGAGAACAAGGUGCACACGUUAACUGCGUGUGCAUUGAUAGUAUCAGAAGAGGAAGGGACGGCUAACUCUGUGCCAGCAGCCGCGGUAAUACAGAGGUCCCAAGCGUUGUUCGGAUUCAUUGGGCGUAAAGGGUGUGUAGGUGGCGCCGUAAGUCGGGUGUGAAAUCUCGGGGCUUAACUCCGAAACUGCAUUCGAUACUGCGGUGCUUGAGGACUGGAGAGGAGACUGGAAUUCAUGGUGUAGCAGUGAAAUGCGUAGAGAUCAUGAGGAAGACCAGUGGCGAAGGCGGGUCUCUGGACAGUUCCUGACACUGAGACACGAAGGCCAGGGGAGCAAACGGGAUUAGAUACCCCGGUAGUCCUGGCAGUAAACGGUGCACGUUUGGUGUGGGAGGAUUCGACCCCUUCUGCGCCGGAGCUAACGCGUUAAACGUGCCGCCUGGGGAGUACGGUCGCAAGAUUAAAACUCAAAGAAAUUGACGGGGGCCCGCACAAGCGGUGGAGUAUGUGGCUUAUUUCGAUGCAACGCGAAGAACCUUUACUGGCUUGACAUGCAUCUCUAAGGCGGUGAAAGCGUGAGUC
Molecule: ribosomal RNA, 977 nt
Filed under: uncultured Verrucomicrobiota bacterium
Lineage: Bacteria; Pseudomonadati; Verrucomicrobiota
Description: bacterial SSU rRNA
Rfam family: Bacterial small subunit ribosomal RNA
Source: RNAcentral